AGAAGAGUCAUAUAAGAGACCCGUGAUUUGAAACAAGAUCUCAUUUCUCUUUUGUUCUAGCUUGAAGUGGAUUCUCGAUGGUUCCAUGGGGGCUUUGUGAAAGUUCAGCACCACAAGGGAGGGAAGAGAAGCAGGAUGGUUCUGUGGGGCUUUCAAUUCCUUGAGGCACAGAGAGAUCAACGAAGAAUUAUAGGGUUUCAAGAACAGAACUUGCAAGCAAUCACAAUGACCCGCUCAAGUUGAAGAUCUGUGUCUCCAUGGGAGGGUGAGAAGAGAUGAAAAGAGAUAAGUAACAAGGUUGAGAGGUAGAUGAAGAAGAGGAUUAGAGAUCGAGGAUGAGAGCGCAAGACAGAGGGUUUUGAUACUCUCUUUUUUUAAAUUAUUUUUAUUGCCACAUAUUUUUUUUUUAAUUUGUUAAUGCCGUGUAGGAAAGUCGUCUGCCCAAAAUGAUGGAAAAUUGCCCGUGUGAGUAGUUUGACACAAAUUUAAAAUUUGGAUACUCAACUUGAAACGUUUGAAAAAUGAGUUCCCGAGUUGAAAUUGGUCAAAUUAUUCA
Molecule: long non-coding RNA, 556 nt
Organism: Tripterygium wilfordii
Lineage: Eukaryota; Viridiplantae; Streptophyta; Magnoliopsida; Celastrales; Celastraceae
Exons: 2
Source: RefSeq, a predicted model, not a curated record